RNAcentral lists this ribosomal RNA (1023 nucleotides) under uncultured bacterium. RNAcentral's name for it is "bacterial SSU rRNA". It matches the Rfam family "Bacterial small subunit ribosomal RNA", at positions 342 to 1387 of the family's 1533-position model. The record is from RNAcentral.
CGGUAGGCAGCAGUGGGGAGUAUUGCACAACGGGGGAAUCCAUGAUGCAGCGACGCCGCGUGUAGGAAGAAGGUCUUCGGAUUGUAAACUCCUGUUGUUGAGGAAGAUAAUGACGGUACUCAACAAGGAAGUGACGGCUAACUACGUGCCAGCAGCCGCGGUAAAACGUAGGUCACAAGCGUUGUCCGGAAUUACUGGGUGUAAAGGGAGCGCAGGCGGGAAGACAAGUUGGAAGUGAAAUCCAUGGGCUCAACCCGUGAACUGCUUUCAAAACUGUUUUUCUUGAGUAGUGCAGAGGUAGGCGGAAUUCCCGGUGUAGCGGUGGAAUGCGUAGAUAUCGGGAGGAACACCAGUGGCGAAGGCGGCCUACUGGGCACCAACUGACGCUGAGGCUCGAAAGUGUGGGUAGCAAACAGGAUUAGAUACCCUGGUAGUCCACACCGUAAACGAUGAAUUACUAGGUGUGGGAGGGAUGGACCCCAUCAGUGCCGCAAGUAAACACAAUAAGUAUUCCACCUGGGGGGUACGACCGCAAGGUUGAAACUCAAAGGAAUUGACGGGGGCCCGCACAAGCAGUGGAGUAUGUGGUUUAAUUCGACGCAACGCGAAGAACCUUACCAAGUCUUGACAUCCUGCGACGAUGCUGGAAACAGUAUUUUCCUUCGGGACGCAGAGACAGGUGGUGCAUGGUUGUCGUCAGCUCGUGUCGUGAGAUGUUGGGUUAAGUCCCGCAACGAGCGCAACCCUUAUGGUCAGUUACUACGCAAGAGGACUCUGGCCAGACUGCCGUUGACAAAACGGAGGAAGGUGGGGAUGACGUCAAAUCAUCAUGCCCUUUAUGACUUGGGCUACACACGUACUACAAUGGCGUUAAACAAAGAGAAGCAAGACCGCGAGGUGGAGCAAAACUCAGAAACAACGUCCCAGUUCGGACUGCAGGCUGCAACUCGCCUGCACGAAGUCGGAAUUGCUAGUAAUCGUGGAUCAGCAUGCCACGGUGAAUACGUUCCCGGGCCUUGCACU